ACCCUGGUGGCACAGUGGUUAAGUGCUAUGGCUGCUAACCAAAGGGUCGCAGUUUGAAUCUGCCAGGGGCU
This 71-nucleotide transfer RNA is filed under the name Loxodonta africana (African savanna elephant). It matches the Rfam family "tRNA". From Rfam's summary of the family: Transfer RNA (tRNA) molecules are approximately 80 nucleotides in length. The record is from Rfam by way of RNAcentral. Lineage: Eukaryota; Metazoa; Chordata; Mammalia; Proboscidea; Elephantidae.